RNAcentral lists this non-coding RNA (792 nucleotides) under Dichelops melacanthus. The record is from RNAcentral. Lineage: Eukaryota; Metazoa; Arthropoda; Insecta; Hemiptera; Pentatomidae.
GGAAAAUUUGAUUCUAGUUUUAGAAGAUUGCUUAAUGAUGAAUUUAAUAUGUAAGUUUUGGCGAUAUUUAUUGUAAAAUUUAAAUAAUUUUAUUUAGUUUAUUUAUUCGCAGUUUAUAAUAUUAAUUAUUUAAUAAUUUAAGAAUUAGUUAAUUGUUAUUAUGACUAGCAAAAAUUGUGCCAGCAGCUGCGGUUACACAAUUAGUCAUAGUUAUUUAUUUUAGGAUAUUAUUACUUAUAAGCUAAUAUUUGAUUAUAAAUUAUUUAUUUUUAGGUGAAAUUUGAAUAUUUAUUUCUUAAUUGGGUAAGCAAGUAUUAUAAGAAAUUUUUGUAUUAAACUAGGAUUAGAUACCCUAUUAUUUUAAAUGUAAAUUUUUAUUCCUUAUUACUAUUAGUUUAAGAUCUUUAAAUUGAAAGAAUUUGACGGUAAUUUAAUCAUUUUAGAGGAACCUGUUCUGUAAUUGAUAAUCCACGAUAAAUUUUACCUCAGUUAUUUGUUUGUAUAUCUCUGUCUGUUUAGAAUGUUUUAUUAGGAAAUUUUCUUGAAUUCUUUUUGGAAUAUAUGUCAGGUCAAGGUGCAGCUAUAUUGGGGGUUGAAAUGGGUUACRUUUAAUUUUUAUUAAUGGAUUGAUUUUUGUAUUUAAAUUAAUGAAAUUGGAUUUAAUUGUAAUGUUUAUUAUAUAUUAUUCAUGAUAUAUGUUCUUGAUUAAGUACACAUCGCCCGUCGCUCUCAUUAAUAAGAUGAGAUAAGUCGUAACAAAGUAGCCCUAUCGGAAGAUGGGACUGGAAUUAU